UAUUUUGUCACCUUAGGUCGAUCGGUAUCUCACAUUCUUAAUUAAUUAAGAAUUUCAUUUUCUAAGUUUUUCUAGGUCACACCCAUUAUUUUUCCUGGGCCAUUAGCUCAGGUGGUUAGAGCGCACCCCUGAUAAGGGUGAGGUCCCUGGUUCAAGUCCAGGAUGGCCCAUAUCUCUAUGUUGGGGGUAUAGCUCAGUUGGUAGAGCGCCUGCUUUGCAAGCAGGAUGUCAGCGGUUCGAGUCCGCUUACCUCCACUGAUUACCACCUCUUCCAUAAUCAAAGGAAUUGUUUUGGUUGUGAUCAAAUUUUGAACG
RNAcentral lists this transfer RNA (315 nucleotides) under uncultured Prochlorococcus sp. Its description in RNAcentral is "partial may contain 16S ribosomal RNA, 16S-23S ribosomal RNA intergenic spacer, and 23S ribosomal RNA". The stretch from base 183 to 255 matches the Rfam family "tRNA". The record is from RNAcentral. Lineage: Bacteria; Bacillati; Cyanobacteriota; Cyanophyceae; Synechococcales; Prochlorococcaceae.